UCUACGGGAGGCAGCAGUAGGGAAUCUUUCACAAUGGGCGAAAGCCUGAUGGAGCAACGCCGCGUGAAGGAUGAAGGUCUUCGGGUUGGAAACUGCUUUUAUAAGCGAGAAAUAUGAUGGUUACUUAUGAAUAAGGAUCGGCUAACUACGUGCCAGCAGCCGCGGUCAUACGUAGGAUCCGAGCAUUAUCCGGAGUGACUGGGUGUAAAGAGUUGCGUAGGUGGCAUAAUAAGUAGCUAGUGAAAUCUGGUGGCUCAACCAUUCAGACUAUUAGCGAAACUGUUAGGCUCGAGACCGUUAGGGGUAAGUGGAAUGUCUAGUGUAGGGGUGAAAUCCGUAGAUAUUAGAAAGAACACCGAUAGCGUAGGCAGGUUGCUGGGGCGGUUCUGACACUGAGGCACGAAAGCGUAGGGAGCAAACGGGAUUAGAUACCCUAGUAGUC
RNAcentral lists this ribosomal RNA (442 nucleotides) under uncultured bacterium. Its description in RNAcentral is "partial 16S ribosomal RNA". It matches the Rfam family "Bacterial small subunit ribosomal RNA", at positions 338 to 795 of the family's 1533-position model. The record is from RNAcentral.